This 589-nucleotide unclassified non-coding RNA is filed under the name Acisanthera quadrata. Its description in RNAcentral is "partial contains external transcribed spacer and 18S ribosomal RNA". Lineage: Eukaryota; Viridiplantae; Streptophyta; Magnoliopsida; Myrtales; Melastomataceae. The record is from RNAcentral.
CUCGAGCAACACAUCCAUCCUCCGGUGGCUCCUCAUUAGAGGGGUCGUCGGAGGGCGGCGUGUAGCUCGUCUCGCGUUGGGACGACGCAUGAGUGGCUUCUAGGACAGGGUCCCAGAGCAGGCUCCAUGCUUCUCGCAUCGAACUGCCCUGGUCCUUCCGUUUCAUUGGUCGUUUUGCCUCGGCCCUUUCAGGGUCGGCUGCGUCUGCGCGUUGGGUUCUUGUGCUCGAUAUCCGAAUACGGUAACGGGACGGAUUCUCUUCCCCCUCUUGGUUCCCUCGAUCCACCCCUCCCUUGGAGUUGGUGGAUGUCGUGCGGGCAUCGACGUUGUCCAUCGGGAGAGUCGAUCCCCUUCGGGCGCUUCGUCUCGUGAUGGCGCGUAGGUGCUGCCGGCAUGCUCUCGGGUACGGUGCUGUCGCUGGUUCUCGCAUCGGUCCUCGUUGGCCGUUGUGAUCUCGACGUGUCGAAGCGUCAAUGCUUCCGCUCGCGUGACUCUCUUGCUUGUCCAAGGGCUCGCGGAGCUUCUCGGUUUCGUGAUCUUCUUGGGGAGGCAUCGAGGUCCACACGAGGAAUGCUACCUGGUUGAUCCU